Molecule: ribosomal RNA, 1395 nt
Filed under: Serratia sp. (in: enterobacteria)
Lineage: Bacteria; Pseudomonadati; Pseudomonadota; Gammaproteobacteria; Enterobacterales; Yersiniaceae
Description: bacterial SSU rRNA
Rfam family: Bacterial small subunit ribosomal RNA
Source: RNAcentral
CUUGCUCCCUGGGUGACGAGCGGCGGACGGGUGAGUAAUGUCUGGGAAACUGCCUGAUGGAGGGGGAUAACUACUGGAAACGGUAGCUAAUACCGCAUAACGUCGCAAGACCAAAGAGGGGGACCUUCGGGCCUCUUGCCAUCAGAUGUGCCCAGAUGGGAUUAGCUAGUAGGUGGGGUAAUGGCUCACCUAGGCGACGAUCCCUAGCUGGUCUGAGAGGAUGACCAGCCACACUGGAACUGAGACACGGUCCAGACUCCUACGGGAGGCAGCAGUGGGGAAUAUUGCACAAUGGGCGCAAGCCUGAUGCAGCCAUGCCGCGUGUGUGAAGAAGGCCUUCGGGUUGUAAAGCACUUUCAGCGAGGAGGAAGGUGGUGAACUUAAUACGUUCAUCAAUUGACGUUACUCGCAGAAGAAGCACCGGCUAACUCCGUGCCAGCAGCCGCGGUAAUACGGAGGGUGCAAGCGUUUAAUCGGAAUUACUGGGCGUAAAGCGCACGCAGGCGGUUUGUUAAGUCAGAUGUGAAAUCCCCGGGCUCAACCUGGGAACUGCAUUUGAAACUGGCAAGCUAGAGUCUCGUAGAGGGGGGUAGAAUUCCAGGUGUAGCGGUGAAAUGCGUAGAGAUCUGGAGGAAUACCGGUGGCGAAGGCGGCCCCCUGGACGAAGACUGACGCUCAGGUGCGAAAGCGUGGGGAGCAAACAGGAUUAGAUACCCUGGUAGUCCACGCUGUAAACGAUGUCGAUUUGGAGGUUGUGCCCUUGAGGCGUGGCUUCCGGAGCUAACGCGUUAAAUCGACCGCCUGGGGAGUACGGCCGCAAGGUUAAAACUCAAAUGAAUUGACGGGGGCCCGCACAAGCGGUGGAGCAUGUGGUUUAAUUCGAUGCAACGCGAAGAACCUUACCUACUCUUGACAUCCAGAGAACUUUCCAGAGAUGGAUUGGUGCCUUCGGGAACUCUGAGACAGGUGCUGCAUGGCUGUCGUCAGCUCGUGUUGUGAAAUGUUGGGUUAAGUCCCGCAACGAGCGCAACCCUUAUCCUUUGUUGCCAGCGGUUCGGCCGGGAACUCAAAGGAGACUGCCAGUGAUAAACUGGAGGAAGGUGGGGAUGACGUCAAGUCAUCAUGGCCCUUACGAGUAGGGCUACACACGUGCUACAAUGGCAUAUACAAAGAGAAGCGACCUCGCGAGAGCAAGCGGACCUCAUAAAGUAUGUCGUAGUCCGGAUUGGAGUCUGCAACUCGACUCCAUGAAGUCGGAAUCGCUAGUAAUCGUAGAUCAGAAUGCUACGGUGAAUACGUUCCCGGGCCUUGUACACACCGCCCGUCACACCAUGGGAGUGGGUUGCAAAAGAAGUAGGUAGCUUAACCUUCGGGAGGGCGCUUACCACUUUGUGA